RNAcentral lists this ribosomal RNA (253 nucleotides) under uncultured bacterium. Its description in RNAcentral is "partial 16S ribosomal RNA". It matches the Rfam family "Bacterial small subunit ribosomal RNA", at positions 524 to 776 of the family's 1533-position model. The record is from RNAcentral.
UACGUAGGGUGCAAGCGUUAAUCGGAAUUACUGGGCGUAAAGCGUGCGCAGGCGGUUAUGCAAGACAGAUGUGAAAUCCCUCAGCUUAACUGGGGAACUGCGUCUGAUACUGGAUGGCUUGGAUUUGGGAGAGGGAUGCGGAAUUCCAGGUGUAGCGGUGAAAUGCGUAGAUAUCUGGAGGAACACCGGUGGCGAAGGCGGCAUCCUGGACCAACAUUGACGCUGAGGAGCGAAAGCCAGGGGAGCAAACGGG